UUUAUAAAGCAUUGAUUUAUGGGAAUUCUUUCUUAAUUUGCCAUGAAAAUGAUAGAUGCCUGAAACUUCAUUUUUGAUAGUGAGUGAUUCUGUUGCAGUUUAAAAGCAUGCUAAAUGCUUUGUGAUUGAAAUAAUGCGUUUUAAUUCUAAAGAAAUAUUAGCUGUGGCCUCACAGCCAUCUUAUAAAUUUGACAAGGAAGGAAUAUUAUUUAUUAGAGAAAAGCAUGAUAGCUUAUUCAGGAGAAAUGAUGUUUAUUCUCAGCGCUGGUGUCGAUUACGAGGAAAUCUGUUGUUUUAUUAUAAGACAAAAGAUCAGGUAAAUUUC
Molecule: long non-coding RNA, 325 nt
Filed under: Stegodyphus dumicola
Lineage: Eukaryota; Metazoa; Arthropoda; Arachnida; Araneae; Eresidae
Description: uncharacterized LOC118205327, transcript variant X1
Source: RNAcentral